Molecule: ribosomal RNA, 781 nt
Filed under: uncultured bacterium
Lineage: Bacteria
Description: bacterial SSU rRNA
Rfam family: Bacterial small subunit ribosomal RNA
Source: RNAcentral
ACAUGCAAGUCGAACGAUGAAGCCUAGCUUGCUAGGUGGAUUAGUGGCGCACGGGUGAGUAAUAUAUAGAUAACGUGCCUCUUAGUCUGGGAUAGCCAUUGGAAACGAUGAUUAAUACUAGAUACUCCUUCUUAUUCUAAUGUAAGUUGGGAAAGUUUUUCGCUAAGAGAUCGGUCUAUAUCCCAUCAGCUUGUUGGUAGUGUAAGAGACUACCAAGGCUAUGACGGGUAGCGGGUUUGAGAGGAUGAUCCGCCACACUGGUACUGAGACACGGACCAGACUCCUACGGGAGGCAGCAGUGAGGAAUAUUGCACAAUGGGGGAAACCCUGAUGCAGCAACGCCGCGUGGAGGAUGACGCAUUUCGGUGUGUAAACUCCUUUUAUGAGUCAAGAAAAUGACGGUAGCUCAUGAAUAAGCACCGGCUAACUCCGUGCCAGCAGCCGCGGUAAUACGGAGGGUGCAAGCGUUAUUCGGAAUCACUGGGCGUAAAGGACGCGUAGGCGGGAUGCCAAGUCUGAUGUGAAAUCCUAUGGCUCAACCAUAGAACUGCAUUGGAAACUGGUAACCUAGAGUAUGGGAGGGGGAGAUGGAAUUAGUGGUGUAGGGGUAAAAUCCGUAGAUAUCACUAGGAAUACCGAAAGCGAAGGCGAUCUCCUGGAACAAUACUGACGCUAAGGCGUGAAAGCGUGGGGAGCAAACGGGAUUAGAUACCCCGGUAGUCCACGCCCUAAACGAUGAACACUAGUCGUCGGAAUGCUAGUCAUUUCGGUGAUGCACUUA